This 253-nucleotide ribosomal RNA is filed under the name uncultured bacterium. Its description in RNAcentral is "partial 16S ribosomal RNA". It matches the Rfam family "Bacterial small subunit ribosomal RNA", at positions 524 to 776 of the family's 1533-position model. The record is from RNAcentral.
UACGAAGGGAGCUAGCGUUGUUCGGAAUUACUGGGCGUAAAGGGCGCGUAGGCGGCCUUCUAAGUCGAACGUGAAAUCCCCGGGCUCAACCCGGGAACUGCGUCCGAUACUGGAAGGCUUGAAUCCGGGAGAGGGAUGUGGAAUUCCAGGUGUAGCGGUGAAAUGCGUAGAUAUCUGGAGGAACACCGGUGGCGAAGGCGGCAUCCUGGACCAAUACUGACGCUGAGGAGCGAAAGCCAGGGGAGCAAACGGG